RNAcentral lists this ribosomal RNA (258 nucleotides) under uncultured bacterium. Its description in RNAcentral is "partial 16S ribosomal RNA". It matches the Rfam family "Bacterial small subunit ribosomal RNA", at positions 96 to 354 of the family's 1533-position model. The record is from RNAcentral.
UGGCGGACGGGUGAGUAACGCGUGGGUAACCUGCCUUGCACUGGGGGAUAACACUUAGAAAUAGGUGCUAAUACCGCAUAAGCGCAAGGUCCUGCAUGGGACAGUGUGAAAAACUCCGGUGGUGCAAGAUGGACCCGCGUCUGAUUAGCUGGUUGGCGGGGUAAAGGCCCACCAAGGCGACGAUCAGUAGCCGGCCUGAGAGGGUGGACGGCCACAUUGGGACUGAGACACGGCCCAAACUCCUACGGAAGGCAGCAG